CCUACGGGCGGCAGCAGUGGGGAAUAUUGGGCAAUGGGCGCAAGCCUGACCCAGCAACGCCGCGUGAAGGAAGACGGCUUUCGGGUUGUAAACCUCUUUUCUCAGGGACGAAGCAAGUGACGGUACCUGAGGAAUAAGCCACGGCUAACUACGUGCCAGCAGCCGCGGUAAUACGUAGGUGGCAAGCGUUAUCCGGAUUUACUGGGUGUAAAGGGCGUGUAGGCGGGAAAGCAAGUCAGAUGUGAAAACCAUGGGGUCAACCUGUGGCCUGCAUUUGAAACUGUUUUUCUUGAGUGCUGGAGAGGCAGACGGAAUUCCUAGUGUAGCGGUGAAAUGCGUAGAUAUUAGGAGGAACACCAGUGGCGAAGGCGGUCUGCUGGACAGCAACUGACGCUGAGGCGCGAAAGCGUGGGGAGCAAACAGGAUUAGAUACCCUUGUAGUC
RNAcentral lists this ribosomal RNA (443 nucleotides) under uncultured bacterium. RNAcentral's name for it is "partial 16S ribosomal RNA". It matches the Rfam family "Bacterial small subunit ribosomal RNA", at positions 338 to 795 of the family's 1533-position model. The record is from RNAcentral.